Long non-coding RNA from Andrographis paniculata, 299 nucleotides. RefSeq lists it as uncharacterized. The transcript has 3 exons. The record is from RefSeq and is a predicted model, not a curated record. Lineage: Eukaryota; Viridiplantae; Streptophyta; Magnoliopsida; Lamiales; Acanthaceae.
CUUUUUCCCUUCUUUCCCUUUCGGAUAUCCUCUUUUACCCUGCAAAUAUCACCAUCAGAUUUAACCCAUCCUACACUCCCCCUUUAAGCCACAGAGUAUGAUAUAUACCCAGUUAAUUAAAAUGAAGGCCAAAGGCACCACAGAAAUGUCAAAAAGCUAAAAGAUCCCCAGCCACGUACAAAUCUUGCUCCUCAGGAAAGCUGUAGUGGAGCAGCCCAGCUUGCCUUGCAGAUUCAAAGCACUGUGUGAAAGGUAAGUCAUAGUUGCAAUCCCAACUCCCAAAUGCUGGAACAUGGCUC